Molecule: ribosomal RNA, 110 nt
Filed under: Halalkalibaculum roseum
Lineage: Bacteria; Pseudomonadati; Balneolota; Balneolia; Balneolales; Balneolaceae
Also listed under: 1 other name
Source: RNAcentral
GGAAGUGAGUCCAGCGCCGGGGCUCCACCCGUUCCCAUCCCGAACACGGCCGUGACACCCGGCAGCGCCGAUGGUACUGCCCAGCGCGGGAGAGUAGGUCCUCGCUUCCU